This 1609-nucleotide long non-coding RNA is filed under the name Fragaria vesca (wild strawberry). RNAcentral describes it as "long non-coding RNA (FVES_LNC002444)". The record is from RNAcentral. Lineage: Eukaryota; Viridiplantae; Streptophyta; Magnoliopsida; Rosales; Rosaceae.
CCUGAGUCUCUUCCUUCUCCAUGUCUCUCUUUGGAGAGAGAAAAUGAAAGCACAAGUAUGCUGUUCAAAUUCAUCAUCAGCUACCUGUUGAACCACUUUCACAAUAAGGUAAUCACCCUCUACUUUGUUAUAUCCAAAGCCAUACAGCUGUCCAGAGGCCUGUGGACACUCAUCUGCAAUCCUCCUGCAGGUUUGAUUGAUUGGAUUGAGCAUGUAAAGGUAGUCCUGGUUCUUUCCCUCACUACAAAUCAGCACAAUGUCAAGGACAGAACCUAUGAUGCGAGGAGAAUCCACCGACAGCAGAGGAGCAACAUAUGUCUCGGUGGUGAUAGUCUGCUCAUCAUCCACCUUCAACGUCAGAACAUCAGCAGGAUUUGUGUAAUUUGCAUGCACACAAACUUUUGUCUUUGUUCCAUGCUCUGCUUUAACCCUUCUCACAAAGUUUACAUCUUUGAUCUUCUGGCACCAGGCUUUGCACACAAGUUUACAUUGAUUGAUAUCAGGGAUGGGGAGGCGGAUGAUUAUCUCCUCAAAUACAGAAGCGUGAAGCUUUUGAAUUGUACAUUUCGUCUGAAAAUAAUAAGCAGGCAAGAUUUAAUUAAUUUCAAAGUCAUCAUUGCUUAUAAAUAAAGGAGGAGCUUUAAACUAUUUCGAACACUUUGAUCAGUGUGAUCCACACAAACAGAGUCAUCGAUUCGGUCAUAAUCUUGAAAGAAGAGUCAGACAGAGUGAAUGAGUCUUAUCGCUUGCGACAUUUUCUGAUAAAAAAAGACUAGUUGUUUAAGCAGGAAAGCAAACACAAUUGAUUAAAAAACGCAUCUUUCUUGGAACCCUCGUAGUGCUCUUUUUCGAUUCUAUUAUUGUGAAGUGAAAACUGUUAACACUUUCAGACCAAGACCCCAAGCAACACAAUCAGAAGAAAAGUUAUAAUCUUUACCACACAAAAAAACCAUAAACCCAGAAACCCACAAAGUGAAAAACCCCAGUUUCCCCAAUUUGAAAAACCCUAGUAUCGAUCCCCAAUCUUAAAAAACCCAAUUGGGUCACCCAUAACCGAGACCCCAAGCAACACAAUCGGACAAAAAGUUCUUAGCUUUACACUGAAAGGAACCCAAAACCCAGAAACCCCCAAAUGAAAAACCCUAGUUUCCUCAAUCGAGAAAACCCCAGGAAAUGCGAAAUUGGGUCACAAAAUUGGAUUAGAUAAUUCAUACAUAACAUGUACCCAGAUUAAGAAAAGCAACCAAUUCAAGAAUACAAGAAUCACAAACCCAGAAACAGGAAUACGAAUUACAUUAACAUUGAAUUCAAGGACACGAACCUUAGGAGAGUUGGCUGCUUUUGAUUCUUCCAUACUUGCAAUCUUGAGCCCAGUGAGAAUUGGGAAGGCUUUCUUUCUCUAAGCUUUGAAAGAAGAAGUGACGUAGUCAAGGGGGGAGAGAAAAAUGUGAGAGAAUUUUUGAAUCAGAGAAAAGUGGGAGAAUGAAUUAUGAAAAUGGUGACAAAUAUAGGUUUUUAGGCUCUGCUAUGUGCACGUGUUCCAACGGGAAAAUGUAGCCGUUAGCUUCAAAUAGAAUUUCAUCUAUUUAUUUAACCAUGUAUAUAUAUU